RNAcentral lists this ribosomal RNA (1336 nucleotides) under Triticum aestivum (bread wheat). RNAcentral describes it as "partial small subunit ribosomal RNA". Lineage: Eukaryota; Viridiplantae; Streptophyta; Magnoliopsida; Poales; Poaceae. The record is from RNAcentral.
CCUCGUUAGGUAGGCUAAAGCGCAGCGGCCUUGGGGGAGAUUGACAGUUUUUUUUUUUCUUUGUCUCCUCCUCGCCUCGGUACCGCCCCUAGGACCGCACCCGCCGGCUGCACCAGCCGCCGCGGCCGCUGUCGCUGCUGCUCCGGCGGCGGCUCGCGCUCGCGCGGCGCCGGUACUGGGGCCUCGUCGCCGAGGCGCGGCGGCUGGACCUGCGCGCCCGCAGCAGCGACGCCGCGCGCUAGGUCCUGGACGCGCGGGCGCACGGGGGCGGCUUGCAGCGCGUCGCCGACGGCGUGGACGUGCGAGUGAGGGAGCGGAGGAGGCGGCGGGAGCGCGAGGUCGAGUUGCGGGUGAGGAGGUGGUUCCUCGUCCGUGACGUAUCUCUCCACUUUUAAGUUCUCCUUUUAUGGCGGAUACUCUUCCGCUAUAGGCUAACGGCGGUCUUUUAAGUCCUCUUCGUCUACCUCCGACGACACGAGGUCUCAUUAAACUUCCUUUACCUUUAACGUCUCGACCUAAAUUUCCGUUUCCAACUGUUACGAUAGUACCUCGUUCUCCGACGAGUUGUAUUUCGUAGUUACCGACGAAGCCUUCGAUGACCUUUACGAGACGAUCUUCGACUUAGCAACUACUUAGAGUUCAGAUUUCUGAACCUUCUCUUCUUCCCCCUCAACUUUAAUAACCUUCUGUUCUAUGUUUCUAACCUCUUUCAUACCAGGAGCCAACUUCUUCUUAGAAACUUUUUAGGUUCAGGACGGGUCUCCCUCUUCCAUGACCUCUUUGUUAAUGUAUCGGAGUAACUUGUCAACUGUCGAUUUGUUCGAGUUCGACUUUCCGAGUAGUGACUAUAUGUACGGUUUCUUUUCCUAGACCUUUCCAACUUGUCAUAUGUCUCUUUAGAAGUGUCGUCGAGGUCGCUUCGUCCACGUCGUGCCUUGGCCAAGCCGCCUCCCGAAGACUCGCCCCUACUUCUAAGACCGAGGUUUCGACGGGCCUCUGGGCCGGUUAGGCCACCAAAAUCUUGUCUUCCGGUCUUUUCCGAGUACUAAGAAUCCAGGCGAAAACAAGAGAUAUAGAACCAUGACGUGCAACAGCAGAAGUAUUUCUAUAGUCAAAGCUUGAUCCGUCACAUGUUUUGUGUUCAUGAUAUGGGAACACAUUUAUCGUGUACAUUUUAACUACCACCAACAUAAAAAACCUCGAAUUGAACGUCGGGGACUCAAACCCGGAACAAAAUUUGAUCUCGUUCACUACUCGCGUAGCUACACUAGGGACAACGACUUAAAAAGACUCCUAUUCUAAAGUACAAAUGAACGGGUAGUCUUCCACGUUUAAA